This 72-nucleotide transfer RNA is filed under the name bacterium. RNAcentral describes it as "tRNA-Glu". It matches the Rfam family "tRNA". Rfam says of the family: Transfer RNA (tRNA) molecules are approximately 80 nucleotides in length. Their secondary structure includes four short double-helical elements and three loops (D, anti-codon, and T loops). The record is from RNAcentral.
GCCGAAUUCGUCUAGUGGUUAGGACAGGUGGUUCUCAGCCAUCAAACACGGGUUCGAUUCCCGUAUUCGGUA